Molecule: ribosomal RNA, 253 nt
Filed under: uncultured bacterium
Lineage: Bacteria
Description: partial 16S ribosomal RNA
Rfam family: Bacterial small subunit ribosomal RNA
Source: RNAcentral
UACGAAGGGGGCUAGCGUUGUUCGGAAUCACUGGGCGUAAAGGGCGCGUAGGCGGCUUUAUAAGUCGGGGGUGAAAGCCUGUGGCUCAACCACGGAAUUGCCUUCGAUACUGAAGAUCUUGAGUUCGGGAGAGGUGAGUGGAACUGCGAGUGUAGAGGUGAAAUUCGUAGAUAUUCGCAAGAACACCAGUGGCGAAGGCGGCUCACUGGCCCGAUACUGACGCUGAGGCACGAAAGCGUGGGGAGCAAACAGG